AGAGUUUGAUCCUGGCUCAGGAUGAACGCUGGCGGCGUGCCUAAUACAUGCAAGUCGAGCGAAUGGAUGGGAGCUUGCUCCCUGAAGUUAGCGGCGGACGGGUGAGUAACACGUGGGCAACCUACCUACAAGAUUGGGAUAACUUCGGGAAACCGGAGCUAAUACCGGGUAAUACAUUGGAUCGCAUGGUUCGAUGUUGA
This 200-nucleotide ribosomal RNA is filed under the name uncultured bacterium. Its description in RNAcentral is "partial 16S ribosomal RNA". It matches the Rfam family "Bacterial small subunit ribosomal RNA", at positions 8 to 204 of the family's 1533-position model. The record is from RNAcentral.